Molecule: ribosomal RNA, 492 nt
Filed under: uncultured bacterium
Lineage: Bacteria
Description: partial 16S ribosomal RNA
Rfam family: Bacterial small subunit ribosomal RNA
Source: RNAcentral
AGUGAACGCUGGCGGUAGGCCUAACACAUGCAAGUCGAACGGCAGCACAGUAAGAGCUUGCUCUUACGGGUGGCGAGUGGCGGACGGGUGAGGAAUACAUCGGAAUCUACUUUUUCGUGGGGGAUAACGUAGGGAAACUUACGCUAAUACCGCAUACGACCUACGGGUGAAAUCAGGGGAUCUUCGGACCUUGCGCGAUUGAAUGAGCCGAUGUCGGAUUAGCUAGUUGGCGGGGUAAAGGCCCACCAAGGCGACGAUCCGUAGCUGGUCUGAGAGGAUGAUCAGCCACACUGGAACUGAGACACGGUCCAGACUCCUACGGGAGGCAGCAGUGGGGAAUAUUGGACAAUGGGCGCAAGCCUGAUCCAGCCAUACCGCGUGGGUGAAGAAGGUCUUCGGGUUGUAAAGCCCUUUUGUUGGGAAAGAAAGGCAGCAGGUUAAUACCCCGCUGUUCUGACGGUACCCAAAGAAUAAGCACCGGCUAACUUCGUG